UCAGGAUGAACGCUGGCGGCGUGCCUAAUACAUGCAAGUCGAGCGAACUGAUUAGAAGCUUGCUUCUAUGACGUUAGCGGCGGACGGGUGAGUAACACGUGGGCAACCUGCCUGUAAGACUGGGAUAACUUCGGGAAACCGAAGCUAAUACCGGAUAGGAUCUUCUCCUUCAUGGGAGAUGAUUGAAAGAUGGUUUCGGCUAUCACUUACAGAUGGGCCCGCGGUGCAUUAGCUAGUUGGUGAGGUAACGGCUCACCAAGGCAACGAUGCAUAGCCGACCUGAGAGGGUGAUCGGCCACACUGGGACUGAGACACGGCCCAGACUCCUACGGGAGGCAGCAGUAGGGAAUCUUCCGCAAUGGACGAAAGUCUGACGGAGCAACGCCGCGUGAGUGAUGAAGGCUUUCGGGUCGUAAAACUCUGUUGUUAGGGAAGAACAAGUACGAGAGUAACUGCUCGUA
This 461-nucleotide ribosomal RNA is filed under the name Bacillus sp. BAS104i. RNAcentral describes it as "bacterial SSU rRNA". It matches the Rfam family "Bacterial small subunit ribosomal RNA", at positions 24 to 472 of the family's 1533-position model. Lineage: Bacteria; Bacillati; Bacillota; Bacilli; Caryophanales; Bacillaceae. The record is from RNAcentral.